AAGGCAACUCAGUGAUCCCUUCAGCUCCAAUGAUGAACUUUGUGCGUGCCCAGAUCAAGAAAGCAGCUGAUGAGACCGAGACUAUUCUUGAAACAACCCCGGCUGGCAAAAGCGAUGGAGAAGGUGCACUUCGAGCAUUCAUCAAGCGCCAGGGCCAAAAGUUAAGGCGGCUAUCAAACCUUUUUGGUUGUCGUGACCCCGAGUAUGUAUCACCAGAACGGUCUAGGUCGGCGACACCAUCAGAUCCCGCUUCGG
Molecule: long non-coding RNA, 255 nt
Organism: Triticum urartu
Lineage: Eukaryota; Viridiplantae; Streptophyta; Magnoliopsida; Poales; Poaceae
Source: RefSeq, a predicted model, not a curated record